RNAcentral lists this RNase P RNA (362 nucleotides) under Tannerella sp. Its description in RNAcentral is "RNase P RNA component class A". It matches the Rfam family "Bacterial RNase P class A". From Rfam's summary of the family: Ribonuclease P (RNase P) is a ubiquitous endoribonuclease, found in archaea, bacteria and eukarya as well as chloroplasts and mitochondria. The record is from RNAcentral. Lineage: Bacteria; Pseudomonadati; Bacteroidota; Bacteroidia; Bacteroidales; Tannerellaceae.
GCAGCAGGCCGGCCUGCCGCUCGGCCCGCAAAGGGCCGGGAGGAAAGUCCGGGCAACAAAGGGCGCCAUAUUUCCUAACGGGAAGCUGUCCGCAAGGGCAGAGCAGCGUAACAGAAAAUAACCGCCCGAAAGGGCAAGGGUGAAAAGGUGAGGCAAGAGCUUACCGGGGGCCGCAGCAAUGCGGCCUGCCGUACGCCUUAUGGGUUGCAAGGUCAUGUACACCGGCGCUGAAGGACGGCCCGUCCAAUGCCGGGGGGUAGACCGCUGGAGCUUGCCGGCAACGGCAAGUCGAGAUAAAUGGCAGGCACCCCGCCCCCUAAGGGGCGGAGACACAGAACCCGGCUUACAGGCCUGCUGCACUU